Molecule: ribosomal RNA, 433 nt
Filed under: uncultured bacterium
Lineage: Bacteria
Description: partial 16S ribosomal RNA
Rfam family: Bacterial small subunit ribosomal RNA
Source: RNAcentral
AACGAACUCUGGCGGCGUGCUUUACCCAUUCAAUUCGAACGAGACCUUCGGGUCUACUGGCGCACGGCUGUGUAACUGGUGGGAACCUGCCCUCAAUUUCGGAAUAAUUCUCAGAUAGGGAUGCUAAUACCGGAUAAUGUCUUCGGACGAACGAUCUAUCGCUCAAGGAUGGGCCCGCGUUUCUUUAGCUUGCUGGUAUGGGAGAAGCCUACCAACGCAACGAUCCAUAGCUGAUCUGAGAGGAUGAUCAGCCACACUGGGACUGAGACACGGCCCAGACUCCUACGGGAGGAAGCAGUGGGGAAUAUUGGACAACGGGCGAGAGCGCGAUGCAGCAAUGAGGAGUGAGUGAUGAAGGUGUUAGGGUGGUAAAGCUCUUUUAAACGGGAUGAUAAUGACAGUACCGGGAGAAAAAGCACCGGCUAACUACGUG